Molecule: ribosomal RNA, 327 nt
Filed under: uncultured eukaryote
Lineage: Eukaryota
Description: partial 18S ribosomal RNA
Rfam family: Eukaryotic small subunit ribosomal RNA
Source: RNAcentral
CCCUUAGAUGUUCUGGGCCGCACGCGCGCUACACUGACGAAUGCAACGAGCUUAUAACCUUGGCCGAAAGGUCUGGGUAAUCUCCAAAUUUCGUCGUGAUGGGGAUAGAUUAUUGCAAUUAUUAAUCUUCAACGAGGAAUGUCUAGUAAGCGCAAGUCAUCAGCUUGCGUUGAUUACGUCCCUGCCCUUUGUACACACCGCCCGUCGCUCCUACCGAUUGAAUGGUCCGGUGAAGCGUUCGGACCGUGGCCUUUGGACGGUUCGCCGUCUGUUGGCUGCGGGAAGUUCGUUAAACCUUNUNAUUUAGNGGAAGGAGAANUCGUANCA